UACGAAGGGGGCUAGCGUUGUUCGGAUUUACUGGGCGUAAAGCGCACGUAGGCGGAUUGUUAAGUCGGGGGUGAAAUCCUGGAGCUCAACUUCAGAAUUGCCUUCGAUACUGGCUUUCUAGAGGCUGGAAGAGGUUAGUGGAAUUCCCAGUGUAGAGGUGAAAUGCGUAGAUAUCGGAAGGAACACCAGUGGCGAAAGCGGCUUCCUGGUCCAGCACCGACGUUCAGGCACGAAAGCGUGGGGAGCAAACAGG
RNAcentral lists this ribosomal RNA (253 nucleotides) under uncultured bacterium. Its description in RNAcentral is "partial 16S ribosomal RNA". It matches the Rfam family "Bacterial small subunit ribosomal RNA", at positions 524 to 776 of the family's 1533-position model. The record is from RNAcentral.